CUAGCGGCCAUUAGCUCUCACAACCACCAGAGCAAAUUCCAUCCAGCCUAGCUAGCCAUGGAGACGGAGCCACCCAAGAUGCUCGCCGUGAUGGCGACGAUGAUGAUGAUGAUGGCCACCGCCGCUGCACUCGUACCGGAGGGGGCGGUGCUUGCAGGACAGGCGAGGGCGCUCCUCGUCUGGAAAGCCAGCCUCGACGACCAAAGCCAGCACACACUGCUGUCCUGGGAGAACAUGUCGGCGCCCUGCAGCUGGCGUGGCAUCACGUGCACAGGGCAACAUCGCCGGCCGGUGAUCAGCGGCAUCUCUCUGCAGGGGAUGCGGCUUAGAGGGGCGCUGGGGCCACUCGACUUCUCAGCCUUGGCGACCCUGACGCGCCUCGACCUCUCGCACAACCACCUCAGCGGGAGCAUCCCUGCCGGCAUUGAGGCCCUCGGAGAGCUCCGUGCUCUGCUUCUACAAGGCAACCAGAUAAGAGGCUCCAUUCCACUAGGCCUAGCAAAUCUCACAAAAUUACGCUCCUUAAUGCUUAAUGAAAAUGAACUCUCCGGUGGAAUACCAAGGCACAUAGGCAACAUGAGUAAUCUUGUGAACCUCACCUUGUCGGUCAAUCACUUGGUUGGUCAAAUCCCCUUUGAAAUAGGCCACCUAAAGCACUUGGUUACAUUAGAUUUUUCUAAUAACAAUCUUUCCGGCUCAAUCCCAAGCAAUAUAUGUGACUUGACAAAACUUGCUACCUUGUACCUUGACGCCAACCAACUCUUUGGACACAUCCCUCGAGAACUUGGUCAUUUGGUCAAUUUAAAGGACCUGGGCCUUAGCCGAAACAAGCUGAUAGGUUCCAUCCCAAAUAACUUGAGAAAUUUAACAAAACUCACUGCCUUGUAUUUUGGACAGAACGAACUUCCUGGCCAAAUUCCACAAGAUUUAGGUUAUCUAGUGAAUUUAAAGGUCUUGGAUCUUUGUCAAAACACGUUCUCAGGUUCCAUUCCAAUAAAUUUGUUUAAUUCGACGAAGCUCACUAUCUUAUCUCUAUGGGGCAACAGGCUCUCUGGUCAAAUUCCACAAGAAUUAAGUCAGCUAGUUAACUUGGAGGAAUUAGAACUUAAUACAAACACACUAUCAGGUUCUAUCCCAAUCACUAUAGGGAAUUUGACCAAACUCACUAGAUUAUACCUUUUCCAGAACCAACUUUCGGGGCAAAUUCCACGGGUGCUAGGUUAUAUGAUGAACUUAAAAGAAUUGGCUCUAUAUGAAAACACACUCUCAGGGAACAUUCCAAGAAAUUUAUGUAAUUUGACCAAGCUCACUGUCUUAAUUCUUUCACGCAAUAGACUUUCUGGUCAGAUUCCACAAGAAUUAGGUUACCUUGUGAACUUAAAUGACAUGGAUCUUACUUUUAAUACACUCUCAGGUCCUAUCCCAGUCACCAUAGGCAAUCUGACAAAACUCAAUAUAUUAAGCCUUUUUAUGAACCAACUUUCGGGGCGAAUUCCACGAGAAUUGGGUUACCUUGUGAACUUAGAGGAGUUGGAUCUUAAUAUUAACAAACUAUCAGGUUCCAUCCCAAACAGCUUACGAAGUUUGACAAAGCUCACCAAGUUAUGCCUUGCACAAAACCAACUCUCUGGAUCUAUUCCUCAAGGAAUUGGCAAGUUAACGAGCCUAGUUCAACUGCAACUCCCUUUUAACAACCUCUCUGGUUCCUUGCCAUCUGGUCUUUGUGCGGGAGGUCAGCUACAAUUUUUGAUCGUUAACGACAACAACUUGGUUGGACCCUUGCCAUCAAGUUUGCUAAGUUGUACAAGCCUAGUCAGGAUUCGACUUGAACGGAAUUACCUCGAAGGAGAUAUCACCGAGAUGGGAGCUCAUCCAAAUCUUGUCUAUAUUGAUAUAAGUUCAAAUAAACUAUUUGGUAAACUAUCUCAUCGUUGGGCUGAGUGCUACAAUCUUACAGUGCUACGUGCAUCAAAAAACAAUAUAACCGGAGUAAUACCAUCAAGUAUUGGGAAAUUAUCUUGGUUGGGGAUACUUGAUGUUUCAUCAAAUAAGCUUGAAGGACAAAUUCCUCCAGAAAUCGGCAAUAUAACGAUGUUGUUCAGUUUGAGCCUUUUUGGUAACUUGCUCCAGGGAAAUAUGCCCGCAGAAAUUGGAUCACUGAAAAAUGUGGAAUAUCUAGAUUUAUCAUCAAACAACCUAACUGGGCAGAUACCAGGAUCAAUUCAGCAUUGUUUGAAGCUUCACUCUCUAAAGUUGAGCCAUAAUCACUUCAAUGGUAUAAUUCCUAAUGAACUAGGGAUGUUGGUAAACCUACAAGAUAUGUUGGAUCUAAGUGAAAAUUCAAUUGAUGGCGCUAUUCCUAGUCAACUAGGUGGUCUUACUAUGCUUGAAGCCUUGAAUCUUUCUCACAAUGCACUGAACGGCAGCAUUCCACCAUCAUUCCAGAGCAUGAACAGCCUCCUAUACAUGGAAAUGUCAUACAACAAAUUAGAAGGGUCAGUGCCACAUACUAGGCUCUUUGAAGAGGCUCCAAUCAAAUGGUUUAAGCAUAAUAAGAAAUUGUGUGGUGUUGUAAGAGGUUUGCCCCCUUGUGAUCUUCCUCAAAGUAGUGAACAAGGGAAAAAUUCUGGUGCUAUUUUACUCUCUAUAAUAGCCGCAAUUGCAUCUUUUAUGUUUGUCAUUGCACUGGUAACAUGGCAGUGCAAAAAGAAGAAAACCAAGACAGCAGUUAUAGAUAAAUCACAACAAACCAAGAUGUUCACCAUUUGGAAUUUUGAUGGGGAAGAUGUGUACAAGAAAAUUGUUGAUGCCACAAACAAUUUCAGCAACGCUCAUUGCAUUGGAUCUGGAGGUAAUGGAUCAGUCUACAGAGUCCAGUUACCAACAGGUGAAUUGUUUGCAGUGAAAAAGAUCCAUAUGAUGGAAGAUAAUGAGCAAUUUAACCGUGAAAUACAAGCAUUGAUGUAUAUUCGACAUCGGAACAUUGCAAAGUUAUUUGGUUACUGCUCUGCAACCCAAGGAAGAUUUCUUGUGUAUGAAUACAUGGAUAGAGGAAGCUUAUCAGCAUCUUUGAAGGGUACAGAAACUGCAGUUGAAUUGGAUUGGCCGAAGAGGUUAAAUAUUGUUUGCGAUGUUGCUCAUGCUUUGUCUUACAUGCAUCAUGACUGCUUCGCACCGAUAGUCCACCGAGAUAUAACAAGCAACAACGUUUUGCUUGACCUGGAAUUUAGAGUUUGCAUCUCAGAUUUUGGUCUAGCGAAAAUACUAGAUGUGGAUGCAUCGAACUGCACUAGUCUCGCAGGGACAAAAGGAUAUCUUGCCCCAGAGCUUGCAUACACAACAAGGGUGACGGAGAAGUGCGAUGUUUAUAGCUUUGGGAUACUUGUUCUAGAGCUGUUCAUGGGACAUCAUCCAGGUGAUUUCCUUUUGUCCAUGGGCAACAACAAAAAUAGUACAUCAAUUGAGAAAUUUCUGGACACCCGGCUCCCACUCCCUGAAGCUGAGGUCGCAACUAAGAUAUUUCAAGUGGUCGCCAUCGCUGUUCGGUGCAUAGAGCCCGAUCCAUCGCACCGUCCGACGAUGCAGCAAGUAACCAAGGUGUUGUCAGCAGCUGAGCGACCUGCUAAUAAUCUUGAUUAUCUCCACACUAGCAUUGUCAUCCCUGCCUGCUGGUCGUGAAUGUUCAUCUGAUUAUUACAUCCGACACUGUAUAUAACACAUCAUUUUAUUCGCUAGAUAGCUUGUUUUCUGCUAUAUAUCAUUCGCACCUACUGGUUGGCAAUUAACUACAUCUAAAUAUAUUUUGUAUGGCAGAGCUCCUGCUAUUUCGGUAAAACAUUGAUAAAUAAAUCCAUCUGCAUCCUCUCUCGGACGUCUCCUUUUGGUCCUUAUAGCCUUACAAGGUGCUCGAGCCUUUUAGCUGUUCGUGUCACUUGGGGCUGCAGCAAGAAGGGAUUCGCACUGCAUUACCCUGUGAAGGGAGUCAAAAGAAGCCACACAAUCUGAGGAAAGAACUCCCCAUGGAAGAGGAGCAAAUCAAUCAGAUCAGGGAGGAGUGCAGCGUGCGUGCCUGGGUGAAGGCAUCAGGGUCAUUGCUGGCGGACAGAAGGAGGUAGUCCGGGCGACAGACGGUGGUUGCUGCGGCGAGGAGGAGCAUUGCGAGCGUGGCGCCCGCAGCCGCGACGGCGGGGCCAGGGUUUUGGAUUUCGGACCGAAAAACCGAAAAGUGGCCGAAAUCCGCCCAUUUCGGUUGGGCCCGGUAAAUGUUCAAUCCGGUCAAAACAAUUCGGCCUCGUUUGAAUUUCCAGCCCGGCCCAUGGUCCAGUACAGCCCAUAGAUAGAACCUUGUGCUAUAAAAGCUCAAACCAAACCCUACCGUAGCCCUAAUUUCAUUUUCUCCACUCUCCACUCCUCUGUGCGGCGGCUGCAGACAACGAAGCCGAGUGAGGCGGGGGCGCGGCGCCGUCUCUGCCCAUCUCCCUCCUCCCCGUCGCCUCGAGAGAUCACCACUCCCUGUCCCUCCCCAUAGUCCGUUCUCCCCUUCUUCCAUCCGCGACCAUGGAUGAGGAAGGCUUUCUCGACAGCAGCCGUCCGGCCGGCGACCCAGUUGGCGGUGGCAGCCAUAGAAGAUCGAGGUCAGGGGGCGACUGGGUCGACAAUGAGGGAGCCAUGGGGCGUGGCCACGUCCGGCCGAAUAUGGGGCUGGACUUGGGCAGCGGCUUUGGAGCUGCCGAUGCACAAGCUGGGCAAGGCUCCUCUCGUAAGAGGGUAGGCAUCGAUGCUAGAAGGAGUGAUACUGUCAACUUAGACGAUGAAGAUGAUGGUCUGAUCAGGAAUGGUUCAACAACAAGAGAGGCACCUUUUAAAGGACUUAAGACCAACGACAUACAUCAUGUGUGGAACCAUGGCCCCAAGCACGGAGGAGGAUUUCAUUGUCGGUAUUGCAACAUGAAGAAUUCUGGAGGAGGUGCAACCCGCUUCAAAGAGCAUCUUGGCAAGAUAGUAGGUGAAGUGAAGGAGUGCCCAAAUGUUCCAAGAAAUGUGCAUGAUAUAAUGAGGAAGGCCGUGCUUGAGAUGAGGAAAAAGAAGAGGGAGAAGGAAAGUCGUAAGCUUAGAUUUGAACGUGAGUUGAUGGAUGAGAUGUACCAGAGAAAUGGUGUGAUAAAUAUUGAUGAUGAUAAAGAUGAAGAAAUUCAUAUGGCACUACGGGAGUCACUAAGAGACAGGAAUGUAUCUCGUGCAGUUGAGAGGAGGCGUGGUAGUGGCAGUGGUGUUCGCGUUUCCCUUGGGAAACAGAGUAUCACAGCCUACUUUGACAAGCAAUUGUCGAGCAACAAAGUAUCAAUGCAACCCAAGAUCAGCACUGCUAUGGAUAGCAGCUCAAGGGAUGCUGUUGGCCAAGCUUGGGCGAAGUUUUUUCAUGCAAAUGACAUCGCUGGUCGAAAAGCUGACUGUCCAUAUUUUCAGGCUGCCAUGAAGAUCACUCAAAAUCUUGGUGCUGCUCCUAUUCCAACUGGAAAAGAGAUUGAUGGGGAGUAUUUAGACAAAAAUUAUGAAGAGUCUCGAGAGUGGCUGAAGCUAUUCAAGCAAGAUUGAAAGAACUAUGGUGUAACUGUUAUGUGUGACUCCUGGACUGGGCCUACUGGCAUGAGUCUUAUCAAUUUCAUGGUCUAUUGCAAUACACGGAUGUUCUUCCAUAAAUCCAUUGAUGCUUCUGGCCAGUCUCAAAAUUCAGAAUUUCUCUAUAGAGAGAUUAAACAGGUUGUUGUUGAAGAGAUAGGCCACGAAAAUGUAGUUCAGAUUGUUACUGAUAAUGGCUCAAAUUACAAGAAAGCUUGUAAAACUCUUGUUGAACAACCAGAAUUCAGUCAUAUUGUUUGGCAGCCAUGUGCAGCCCACACGGUUAAUCUAAUGCUUAAAGACAUAGGUAAGUUUCCUGAGGUUGAUGUGAUAGUCAAAAGUGCCAAGCAAAUCUGUAGGUUUUUUUUAUAAUCACAACAACCUACAUGAUAGCAUGAGGAAGAACGUUGGUGGUGAGCUGAUUAAACCGAAUGCCACCCGGUUUGGAACUGUGUUUAUGUUCCUUGAGAGUUAUUUGGAGAAGAAAGAUAAAUUUAGGAAAUGGAUGGUGUCCGACGACUGGAAGAACAGUAUUUGGAAGAAUGAUGCGGACCAUGUGUUUGCUGAAGAGUUGCUAUCCAGUAACAUGUGGUGGACAGCCUUAGAAUGGGUUCUUGAUUUGCUUGAGCCACUCUAUGUAGCCCUCAGAUAUGCUGAUACACAAAAGAAAUGUACUCUAUCUGGUUUCAAGAAGACUAUGAUGACAGCCAUACAAAAGAUGAGUUCUCAUCUUGGUGGUGGGUCACAGAUGUUAGAUAGAGUCAUGAGCAAGGUGUCCCCGAGGAUGGAAGAUAUGCAAAAUGAGACACUAAUGGUUGCAGCUGCUGUCCUUGAUCCGUUCACACAUUAUCGGGUGAAUUUGAGCAACCUUCCAGAAUAUGCUUCUGCACUAACGGAUGUCAUCGAGAAGAUAGCAGACCCUGAGAGCGCUCUUUUGGCUAUCAAUGAAAUCAGCACUUAUAGGGAAUGUCGUGGGAGGUUUAGGCAUAGUUUGGCACGCUCUUCCGCAGAAAGAAUGGCACCAACUGAGUGGUGGUUCCAGUUUGGAGGGGAAGUUCCUAAUUUGCAGAAGUGGGCAUUGAGAAUUGUUUCACAGUGUGUCUCUUCAAGUGGCUGUGAGAGGAAUUGGACUGCUUUUGCCUUGGUCCACACGAAGCAAAGAAAUCGCCUUCUAUACUGCAAGCUUCACAAAAGUGUUUCUGUACGCUACAACCUGAAGUUACGUGCUGUAGAAGAUGAAGAUAUUGUGAAGCUGAGUUAUAGGGAGAAGGAAAUUGAUCCAUGUGCAGUGAUGAUGGAUACAGUUAUGCAUGACGAAUCAAACCCAAUGAUGGAGUGGCUGAACGAGGAUGAAGAGCAUAUAGUCCUUGAUGGAUCUGAUGCUGCUACUGCUGUGUUGGAGGAAAUACGUCGCCUUAACUCAAGGAGGAAAGCCUCUCAUCUUGGAAGGAAGGAAAUUAGCAGGAAAGGAAAGAGGGUACGUGAAGAUGAGGAGGAUGAGUUCAUUAGCAGUGAGGAUGAUGAUGAAGCGAAUGGAUCCAUGGACAUUGAUGAUGGUGAUGAUGGCCAAGAAGAGGAUGAUGAAUCUGAUGGAGAAGGUUUGCCAAGACAAGCUGAAAAAGAUGCACGAAGCCAAGUGAAUGAUAUUGAGGUAACAAGGGAUGAAAAUAUGGUGAAUCGUAGAUCUGGACGGCAAGCCAAGAAGGUCAAGGACGUCAACUCCCUUUACUAUUAGACUGAAGACUGGAAGAAAAUUGAAGUCUACCUGAUGUGUUUUGGAGGCGCUGGUUUGAACUUCGAUUACUUCUGCUCUAUGACUUGUGGAUUGUGAAUCUGGACUAUUGUGUGUGUAUUUUGGACUCGUAGUAGGGAUUGGUGUGUGGGUAUUUUGGACUGUAAUUUGAAGUUCUAAUAUGCACUGUUAUGUGUGUACCUUGGGCUAAUAUGGACUGUUAACUAGCCUAUUGAGUAGAUCUGGACUACUGGAUGUUAUAUCAUGCUCUGAACCGAUGUUUACCAUUGAGAUGGAGUUCUAAUCUGGUAUAACAUGUAAAUUGCUGCUUUGUGAUUCUAUA
Molecule: ribosomal RNA, 7694 nt
Filed under: Triticum aestivum (bread wheat)
Lineage: Eukaryota; Viridiplantae; Streptophyta; Magnoliopsida; Poales; Poaceae
Description: partial small subunit ribosomal RNA
Source: RNAcentral